GUUUGAUCAUGGCUCAGCCUGAACGCUGGCGGCGUGGCUAAGACAUGCAAGUCGCAUGGGUGUAGCAAUACAUCAGUGGCGCACGGGUGAGUAAUGUAUCGCUAAUGUACCCCGGAGCUUGGGAUAGCUGCCCGAAAGGGCAGGUAAUACCAGAUGUAUAUAACCUUGUCGCAUGGCAGGGUUCUCAAAGCAGCAAUGCACUCUGGGAGCAGGCGAUAUCGUAUCAGCUAGUUGGUGAGGUAACGGCUCACCAAGGCGAUGACGCGUAGCUGGUCUGAGAGGACGACCAGCCACAUCGGGACUGAGACACUGCCCGGACUCCUACGGGGGGCUGCAGUAACGAAUCUUCCGCAAUGCACGAAAGUGUGACGGAGCGACGCCGCGUGUAGGAUGAAGUCCUUCGGGAUGUAAACUACUGUCAGGGGUAAGAAAGUUCUGAUCUACCCCAGAGGAAGAGGCGGCUAACUCUGUGCCAGCAGCCGCGGUAAUACAGAGGCCUCGAGCGUUAGGCGGAAUCACUGGGCUUAAAGCGUGUGUAGGUGGAUGCCUAAGUACCUUGUGAAAUCCCACGGCUUAACCGUGGAACUGCUUGGUAUACUGGGUGUCUUGAGCCACUCAGGGGCUACCGGAACAAAUGGUGGAGCGGUGAAAUGCGUAGAUAUCAUUUGGAACGCCAAUGGUG
This 682-nucleotide ribosomal RNA is filed under the name uncultured bacterium. RNAcentral's name for it is "bacterial SSU rRNA". It matches the Rfam family "Bacterial small subunit ribosomal RNA", at positions 11 to 717 of the family's 1533-position model. The record is from RNAcentral.